AGCAAUGGGGCCUGAGAUGGAAAGUUCACUAUGGGUUUGGGGCUAUCACGGGCUACACAGUGAGAGCCAUCUCAAAACAAAGAACAGAACAAAGCAGGAAGUGGUUGGCAGCUUGUUUCUAGUGAAGCAACGACAAUGCACAUUGAACUUUGGAAACUGGAACUAUGAAGACAUAUGAGCUGUCCUUGAGACACAGAUUUCCCUACAGGCCAGGAAGGUGAUUCCAAAGGUUAAAUGCUUGCUGGGAAGGUCUGUAGGGAUAAGCCCUCCCCUUGGGGGCGGGCUGCCCUCAGGCGUAUGUUUACUGAUAUAUUCUGCUGCGCGCCCCUUCCGCGCUCUCUCCUGUUUCCGCUGGAUACUCCGCUGGAACCUUGGUUUUGCAAACGCCUAUGCGCUAUGUGCACACAGUGCCCAAGGAGGGCAGACAGGAACAUCGGAACUCCUGAAACUGCAGUUGCUGAUGGUUCUGAGUUCACACACUUACCGCGAGCUUCCCACACAGAGACACGCCAGCUUUUGCAGCACCCUAUGUGUCCUCUAAGGGGACAGAAGACCUUUCGCCUUGUCUCUGGGUUUGGCAAAGCCAACUGCACGGAAGCAAAAAAGGCCUUUUACCCCUUCAGCUUUCUGAAGGCUUCACUCGGGGAAUCAAUCUGCUCACCCUGCCAAGACAGGUCACUCCUGCUGCCUAAGCCAAGACCAACCUAUAAAGCGCUCCCAGGACAACACCAAAUGCACCUGCACCAGCUCCUGGGACUUCACCAUUGGUAGCAGCUCUCAAGGACACCUGCCAAACACCUGCCUUCGCAUCUCCCUCAAAAAGCAGCUGCCUGAGGUCUCCAGGAUGACAGGAAACCGGAUGUCGCCCCAACCACACCUUUUGCUGAGCGUGAGCAGGCCAACUCUCAGCUCUCCCAUCUCCCACGUUGUCCCAUGCCCACAGGAAGUAGUCAGACUUGAGUCUACAUCCCUUUUUCCAGAGAGAGCCUAAAAUGUUGGUUAUAAUUAUCACCUCAACUUCCUGUCACCCCUAUAUCCAAAGAGUCUGGAAUGUUAAGUUGGGAGCAUCACCCCAGCUCCUGGCAUCCAUCCCAGCCCCCUGGCUUGGGAAUUGCAUUGGUCUGGACUCCAAAUCCUGACUCUCCAGAACACCCCACAGGGUAUUUAAGAGGGCACCCAGAGGAGGAACACUUUGCAUGUGCUCCGCGGUUUUCUGUCUCCCGUCCCAUGCUCUCGGCCACUCAAAAGUGCUACACUUAAUAAAAACA
Long non-coding RNA from Alexandromys fortis (reed vole), 1268 nucleotides. RefSeq lists it as uncharacterized. The record is from RefSeq and is a predicted model, not a curated record. The transcript is spliced from 6 exons. Lineage: Eukaryota; Metazoa; Chordata; Mammalia; Rodentia; Cricetidae.